Molecule: non-coding RNA, 181 nt
Filed under: Streptomyces kanasensis
Lineage: Bacteria; Bacillati; Actinomycetota; Actinomycetes; Kitasatosporales; Streptomycetaceae
Source: RNAcentral
CGAAUCGUAGGAUCAUCUGGUCAUCACCGCGACGGGAGACAGGAAGCCGGUGCGAUUCCGGCACGGUCCCGCCACUGUGACCGGGGAGUGGACCCCACCGGAAGGCCACUGCGCACGCGCGGGAAGGCCGGGGGAACGUCGAUCCGGGAGUCAGGACACUGGCCUGUCGCGGGCCCGAUCC